GCGGAAGGCUGGAUGGCCGCGGCGGUGACUCCACUGUCGAGGAAAGUCCGGACUCCAGGAAGAAACGGUGCCGGGUAACGCCCGGGCGGGGCAACCCGACGGAAAGCGCCACAGAAAGCAAACCGCCCCGGGUGCGCCCGGGGUAAGGGUGAAAGGGUGGGGUAAGAGCCCACCGCGCCCCUGGCAACAGGGGCGGCACGGCAAGCCCCACCGGGAGCAAUGCCAAAUAGGGACCGCGCGCCGCAAGGCGGGGCCGCUUUCGCCCCAGCAGGUCCGGGUUGGCAGCUAUAGCUGCCCUCGCAAGGGGGCAGUCAGAGGAAUGGUCAUCCAUUCGGGGGCGACCCCGGAGGACAGAAUCCGGCUUAUAGGCCUUCCGCGCGU
Molecule: RNase P RNA, 381 nt
Filed under: Sulfitobacter sp.
Lineage: Bacteria; Pseudomonadati; Pseudomonadota; Alphaproteobacteria; Rhodobacterales; Roseobacteraceae
Description: RNase P RNA component class A
Rfam family: Bacterial RNase P class A
About the family: Ribonuclease P (RNase P) is a ubiquitous endoribonuclease, found in archaea, bacteria and eukarya as well as chloroplasts and mitochondria. Its best characterised activity is the generation of mature 5'-ends of tRNAs by cleaving the 5'-leader elements of precursor-tRNAs. Cellular RNase Ps are ribonucleoproteins.
Source: RNAcentral